Molecule: ribosomal RNA, 468 nt
Filed under: uncultured bacterium
Lineage: Bacteria
Description: partial 16S ribosomal RNA
Rfam family: Bacterial small subunit ribosomal RNA
Source: RNAcentral
GACGAACGCUGGCGGCGUGCUUAACACAUGCAGGUCGAACGGAAAGGCCCUGCUUUUGUGGGGUGCUCGAGUGGCGAACGGGUGAGUAACACGUGAGUAACCUGCCCUUGACUUUGGGAUAACUUCAGGAAACUGGGGCUAAUACCGGAUAGGAGCUCCUGCUGCAUGGUGGGGGUUGGAAAGUUUCGGCGGUUGGGGAUGGACUCGCGGCUUAUCAGCUUGUUGGUGGGGUAGUGGCUUACCAAGGCUUUGACGGGUAGCCGGCCUGAGAGGGUGACCGGCCACAUUGGGACUGAGAUACGGCCCAGACUCCUAUGGGAGGCAGCAGUGGGGAAUAUUGCACAAUGGGCGGAAGCCUGAUGCAGCAACGCCGCGUGCGGGAUGACGGCCUUCGGGUUGUAAACCGCUUUCGCCUGUGACGAAGCGUGAGUGACGGUAAUGGGUAAAGAAGCACCGGCUAACUACGUG